GUCGAUUAUGUCUACAAUAAAAUUUGAAUCUGGGCAUGAAAAAAAAAGAAAAAAAAAAAAGAAUCUGAAUUGGAUUAGAAAUCUGCAGAGAUUGAAUCUGAAACAAUUUUUAUCAACAUGCCAAGCUUUUUGAAGAUGGAAAUCUUUUCAGAACUAAAAAAAAAAAAUCAUAACAAGAACUUUGACAAGCAAAAUACUUAAUAUAGGGUAAAGCUCUAAAGUUACUUCUUUAAAUUAAAAUACUUACAAAAAGCAUGCUUUUGAGUUAAGUAAUCUAGUUGCUGGCCAUUUCUCCUCAUUAUUAAUAAGUUCGAAAUUGCUGGAAAAAGAAAAAGAAAAGGAAGGAAUCCUAAGACCUUGGUAAGUGUGCCUUGUAUAUAUAUAUAUAUAUAUGUAAAAUUUAUAUAUUGAAUUCAAUGGUAUUAUCUGCUGAAAAUUUUACUCUUGCUCCAAGAGGGUGUAAAUAAUAAACAUCAUAUUUUUUAUUAUAGUGACUUAUUAGAGACGUUAGCCAUUGGUUACAAAUAUGAAGUACAGAGCCAUACAGAGAGAUUUUGAAUGUAGUGAGUCCUGCUAUUGGAAUUAUAUAUACGUAUACUGAUAUAUGAUGGAGUUUAGGAAUUAUAAAGUUCAGAUUUGGUAUCGGUGCUUCAAAUUUUCCUUUGAGGUUUGUUAUAAAAUUUUGUUCUCCAAUUAAGCCUGUAAACUUAAAAGUUGCAAUUACAAUUGGUACCAUAAUUGUACUUAAAAUUGCACUAUUUUAUAUGUUGACUCGAGCACAUAGUUGUUAGUACAUUUGCUUCUUUCUUUUUAAUUUAAAAUUUGAUAUAUUCUUGUUUUAUUUUAAUGCACUUAUGAUUUUCACUUCUUUUAAUUUUUUUUUUUCCUUCUUUUAAAUUUCAUUAAUUUGUGUAAUCUUUCAAACAUCUUACUUUUUUAUUAUUGAUUUAAAUUUGGGUGUGAACCUCUUUUUAUUUCACUGGAAAGUGACUCUUAUAAAGCUUGGUUCAAGCUUUUGGUCUAUGACAUAUUCAAAAUAAUGCCAAAAGUAAUAUAUCUCUAUGUAGUAAAAAGGGUUUGAAACCCUUGUUGUAUCAAUGUAGGGGUGGGCUUGAGCCCACUACCAAUUUUUUUUUUUUUUUUUUUACUAUACUAAUUUUAGCCUAACCCAAAAAAAAUAAUUUAUUAAUAGAAUUAGACCACCCAAUCAAACACGUCGACUUAGCCACCAUACUUAAAAUAAAAGUCCAAGCCAAAAAAGCCCAGGGCCGGCUUGAUCCAAGGAGGUCGCCUAGGGCCUCAAAAUUUAUAAGCCCAUGGAUGAUGGGUCAACAAAAAAACAAAAUAUUUUUAGGUCAAAUCAUUUCAGCCUCCCCAAUCGCUUCCAUCUCUAUUCUCGUGACUCUGAACCACACACACACUCUCUCUCUGCAACUGCAAGCUACAAAAUCUACAAGAAUUAGAAGUUCGAAACCCUUAUAUUUCAGUUUAUCUAUCUGUCUACAAGAAUCAAAAGUUCAAAACUCAUAUCGGCAUAUCAUUUCAGAUUGUUCAAAAAAUCAAAACCCAUAUCUUUUAGUUUCCCUUGCUCGCUGUUCCAGUUCGGGUUCGCCGUUCGCAAGCUUUAGCCGCUGUCUCUCAACUCUCAAGCUUGCCCCCCCCUCUCUCUCUCUGCAACUGCUAACUUGGUUAGCAUCGGGCCUUAACAUUUAGUAAGAACAAGGUUCAAGAAACAUGCCUCCACAGUCAUCAGGUCUCUUUUAUGAAAGAGGAGAGUUGAUGGGAAUGAGUGGAGUCGGCAAAAAGAAAAUAAGCUUAUCCUUUCAACAUCAACGGAUGAAAAGAUUACCCUCUGGUCAUAUAACAAACUUCAAGCCAAGGGCACUUUAGAUGUUUUCAACACUAGCCUUUAGUGCUGAUGGGAAAAGGCUUUUUUCGCAAAUCUGGUGAAACACAUAUUUUUGAAUGGAAUUUACAAGAACGUGUUGUGAGGAGGACCUACCGAGGAUUUCAUGGUUGGUCCAAGGGUAUUGUGAAUUUUGAUACAAUUAAGAACAAGUACUUGGUGGCAGGUGAUUCUAAUUUGAUAAAAUUUUGGGACAUGAACAAUAGUGAUCUCUUGACGACUUCUGAUGCGGGUGGAAACCUACCUACAACGCCAGCAAUCUGUUGCAACAGGGAGGGCACAUUAUUGGCUGUUUCUGCCAAUGAUAAAAAAUGAUACUGGUGCCAUUACUGCAUCUGGGACCUUUACUAAGGGUGUGGACAAAAAUGACCCCGACACAGAGAGGGAAAAAAUUAUCGAGGUGCAGGAGGAGAAAAUCCGACAUCUCCAGACAUUGGCUAUUCAACUUGCCAAUUUUUACCUUCUGUUCUAAGAAGUUAUAUUCACUACGAUAUCGAAUGGGUCAACAACUCUUUAAGUGUAGGAAUGCAUGGUUCCCAUGCUCGUCUUUGGGGUAGCAGCCUCACCUUAUUUGGUCGCAAUAUACAUGAUUGGUAAGGAGUACCUAAAGAGUUCAGCAACACUAGAUGAAAUAGAUGAAAAUAAUCUCGUCUGUAAUAAAUUUAAAAAACCAAGAUUGGUAUUUUCUUCAAUUUUUUUUUUCUUAGUUGGUACUUACACAUACGUCUUUUCUAAGACUUGAACUCUUGAUCUCCUUUUAGGAAGUAAGAGGCUAAUGCCGCUAGGUCAUUGGCCCGUUGGUUAAUCUUUUUAAAAUUUUGUGACUCAGCUACAAGAAGGAUCUUAUAGUGAUAUGCAACGAGGUUUAGAUGCCAUCAGGUCAAGGAAACGAAAGCGGAAACAGUAUUUGGCUAUAUGCAUGAUCUUUUUCAUCAGCUUCGCCAUAAUAACGUCUUGUUGCUAGUGGAUACUUUUCAAGACACACAAAAUCAAGUCGAUACACAGUGAUCAUAAUUGCGUCAGGUUUUGUGAGCAACGCAAGUGUACAAGAUUAUGCAUCGAAUAUCUUUGAUGCAUGGAUCGAGUCCUCAUUCUAAUGUAAUCUCAUGUUACUAGCUAACAGCCAUUGAGCGUUCAAUGUUUUUGUGUUUUGGGGGGGCUAAUUGCACAUUAUAUACAAAUUUCUUUACCAGAAAAAUAUAACCUUCGUGUUCAUACGUUUGCAAGAAUAUAUUUGUCUUUUGCAGUGGCUGGCCUUUUGGAGGCAUUAGAUUUUCAGAAGUGGAAUAAAUUAUGAGCUAGUGCGAAUUUAUUUGUAAUAUAUUUUGAAUCAUUAAAAAUUUUGUUGUUGUUUGUGA
Molecule: long non-coding RNA, 3264 nt
Organism: Cornus florida
Lineage: Eukaryota; Viridiplantae; Streptophyta; Magnoliopsida; Cornales; Cornaceae
Exons: 7
Source: RefSeq, a predicted model, not a curated record